GGUUCUCGCUCAGCACCGAGUCAAGGUUCUCCAGCACGUUCACCACCAGCGGCAUGAGCUCCUUGACCACCUCCUCAUCAUAGCAGUGAAUGAGGCGCUCGAACUCGCGGUAGAUGGAGCCCGCCAGGCCCGACACACGCUCCGACAUCACCGAGCCGGAGCAGUAGUCAUCUUGGUACACCACCACACCGCCUCCCUCGUCCAUCUGGAUCUCCAUCAUCGCGGCUACCGCCGCCGCCGCCAGCGCGGCUCGCUCUGGUGCCCGAGUCCACGGGCCGCUGUCACCUCAGGCAGCCACCACCUUAGGAUGCGCCGCCGCCCAGGCCGCGCCCGUCACUCCCUUGCCGGAAGUCCCGCCUGGCCGCGGGGGUGGAGUCCGUCCCGCCCCGCCCCGAGUCGAGCGUCCUGACGCUAAAGGAAACAGGGCUGCAGCAUUUCCGGCUGCGUUGCUGGUGGCGCUAGAGGACCUAGCUCAGUUGGGUUAUAGUGAACCUGGUUGCUUCUAUAUCUCUGUUCUGUUGGUCUUCAGACCUCUGUCAUACUCUGACCACCCUCGACGUUCACGCGACUUGUGUCGUGUGCCCUGUUUCUGGUUCUUUCCCGCUCCUACUGGUCGCUUAGUUCCAUGCACUGUUUCAUUUGCACAGCCCACCAGGGUUCUAAGAUCCUUAUGUGUGGUGGUAAUUUGAGACCGGAAUAUAAAGCGAGUUGAUCUGUGUUCAUUUGCUGGGGACACCAUGAACCUGACUUCGAACUGCUUUCUUGCUAACGUGGUUUUCCCCCCAUGCCUGCUUCCACUUGAAAGCCUUCCAGACUUGUGCACGUUCCUGGUGUCUGUAAAGGCCAGAAGAGGGCGUCUGAAUUGGCAUUUACAGUCAGUUUCGAGCAGCCAUAAGGAUGGCCAGAAUUGAACAGAGGUCCUCCCGUGUACUCCCAACUGCUGAGCCUUCUCUCAAGCCAGAUGUCCAGAACACUUAAAAACGUUGUCCACGGGUUGGAGAGAUGGCUCAGUGAUUAAGAGCACUGACUGCUCUUCCAGAGGUCCUGAGUUCAAUUCCCAGCAACCACAUGGUGGCUCGCAAACAUCUACAAUGUGAUCCAAUACCCUCUUCAGGUAUGUCUGAAGACAGUGACAGUGUACUCAUAUACAUAAAGUAAAUCUUUAAAAAAAACGUUGUCCACCCUUUCAUAUAUAAAGUCUUACUGUGUAGCACUGGCUGACCUGGAACUUACUAUGCCUGGCUUCUGCCAUUCAGUAUACACCAUUACCUGAGGCUGUAAUUCCCUCAUCUUUCCAAACAUAGAAAAAUACCUACUCUAAGAGAUUGUUUUGUAACAGGCCCCAGACCUUAGCACAACUGACUCCAUGAUAGAAGUACCAUUCAGGCUGUAGAACUCAGCACGUAGACAGCACGACCUGCCAAAAAAUGAAGACCUAAUCCAUCAGCGUCCAUAGUUGUGAGAAAGUCUCUAAAUUAAUCUUGCUUUUUGGCUUCUGUAGUUCUGCUUCUGGCUAACUGUUGUUAACUGAAGCCAAUCCAGAACAUGGCUUUGUGCUUAAAAGCUCAUCCCGAGAAAGGUUCAAGGCCUUUCUUGUUUGGGAUCCUAAACAAACAGUGUAGUCACCAGCCAGCUAAUAAAAGACUUUUAUUGGCUUAAACCCAGCUCUGAGCAGUCUUCCCUGGUGAAUGAAUAUCCCACACUUUCAGAUUAUCUGGGUUUGGUACUGAUUUAACCUUCCAAGCCCGCAAAGCUAAGCCUACAUAUUAUGAACCAACCAGGAAAACAGGGUAGUGUGAAAGGGGCAUAGUGCAGUAGUACUUUUAGUGACUGUUAUCCGAGCCAGUUUUAUUAUUUUAUUUUUUUGGUUUUUUUUUUUUUUUUUUGGAGCUGGGGACCGAACCCAGGGCCUUGCGCUUCCUAGGUAAGCGCUCUACCACUGAGCUAAAUCCCCAGCCUAUUAUUUUAUUAUUUAAUGUAUAUGUAUAUGGUGUUUCAUUUGUAUGUGCCCGGUGCUCACAGAAACCAGAAGGCAGCACUGGAUCCCCUGGAACUGGUAUUAACUAAGAGUUUUGAGUGUCACAUGGGUUCUGGAAAUAGAAUCUGGGUCCUCUGGCAGAGCAGCCAGUGGUCUACCCACAGAGCUAUCUUUCCAGUCUCACCUGAGUUAAUUUUAAAUUGCCAAAAUUAGGAAUCAGGACAAAUAGAUUGAAUGAUAAAAUUUUUAAGUUUUUUUUUUUAGAUUUAUUAACUUUGUAUGUAUGGUAUGAGUGUUUUGCCUGCCUAUGUAUUCAUCACAUGAAUGCCUGGUGUCCAUAGAGGCCAAAAGUCAUCAGAUCUCCCCAGAACUGGAAUUACAGUUGCGAGCUACCAUGUGGUUACCGGGAACUGAACUCAGGAUCUCUGGAAGAGCAGUCAGUGCUUUUUUUUUCUUUUUCUUUUUUUCGGAGCUGGGGACCGAACCCAGGGCCUUGCGUUUGCUAGGCAAGCGCUCUACCACUGAGCUAAAUCCCCAACCCCGCAGUCAGUGCUCUUAAGCACUGAGCCAUCUCUCCAGUCCCCUGGUAAACAAAUUUGUUUCAGGUCUCAGCAACUUGAACCCCAUAAAUUCUUUUUUUGAGACAGGGUCUAUAUAGACUUGUCUGUCCUGGAACUUACAUUGUAGACCAGAUUAUCUUCUAAAUUCACAGGGAUUACCUGUCUCUGCCACCCAAGUACUGGGACCAAAGGCAUGAGCUACUAUACCCCAUCCCUGUAAAUUCUUAAAGCUAGUACCCUACAAUGAGGGCAACUCCCACCAACACAGGGACAGACUGACUUGAAUAUUGACUAAAAAAGGGGGGGGGCGGGGUUUGAGACAGGGUCUCCUUCCAUAGAUCUCACUGUCCCAGAACUAUGUGGACUAUUCUGGCCUUGAACUUUACUGAGAGAUCAGCCUGCCUCCCAAGUGCUCACAUCAAAGGUGUGUAUCACAAGUUCUAGUGCUCCUUUGUUAUGACCCAGGGCAAGUUUGUCGUUUGGAACUAAUCAAAGUGAAUUUAAAAAAAAAAAAAAAAAACGGUUCCCCCCCACCCCCACCCAAGGCAGGGUUUCCCUGUGUAGCCCUGACUGUCCUGGAAGCUCUGUAGAUCAGGCUGACCUCAAAUGCAGAAAUCCAUCUGCCUCUGCCUCCCAAGUGCUGGGAUUAAAGGUGUGAGCCACCAAUAUCUGACUUAAAAAAUUAUUUUAAAGUUAUGCCUAUGUAGUAGAUAUGUGUAUAUGAAUGCAGGUUCCUAUCCAAUGGAUGCCAUCAGAUUCACCAGAGCUGGAGGUGUAGGUGGUUGUGAGCCACCCUUCCUGGAUGCUUGGAACUGACCUCCAGUUCUUUGAGAAAGUAUCAAGAUUGAAUUAUAACAAUGACGUAACAGGCACUUUCUGAAUGCUAUUGCUUAUCUGAUCCUAGAUGUUGGAAGCUUUAUUAGAAUACUUUUUAAAAGGCCCUAAAGUGUAAGCUGGAUAGUCCUUCCAUAGCCUCAGGCAUUUGAAUACUGGAUUCCAGUUGCAGAUGCUAUGCUGUUUUGGGAGGCUUAGAAGUGUGGUCUUGCUCAAGGAGUUUUUCAACAGGACAGACUUCAAAGUUUGGGCUAUUUGCUCUGCCCCCAUGCUUGCUGGCUUGUUGCCAUGCAGGUGAUGGUCUCAUCCCUCUGGAAAUGUAAGCCCAGAUGGACACUUUCUUCUACAAGUUGCCUUGGUCUUGUUUUAUCACAGCGAUAGAAAAGGAAUGCAUGUCCAAAGUUCUACUGUAAUCAUGUGCCGAAUAUCUCCCAAAGCCCAAAUCUGUCACAUCCCUUCCAUUCCUUUGUGAGCGAGAUUUGAGAUAGCACUGCAUGGUCUAUGCAAAGGACUAGAGCAUUUCAUCAUUCAUUGCUUGGAAGCUAGUUUAGGAGCCAACACAAAAGACUGUAAUUCCAGUAGCAUUUCUAAGAGUGAGAUUUGAGGUGGCGAUUCUCAGGUAGAGCUUCUAGAGACAUGCCCCCAUUUUUAAGUGCCUACCUAAGGGCUGAAGCAGUUGCUAAUAUGUGAUAUGUCAUUGUCAUGUCAGUUUCUAACCCAGUUCAUGGAACUCGCUACAUUUCUAAUUAUGUUAGACGAGCAAGGUGAGAUGUUUUGGGUAUCACACUGGUCACCCGGUCUACCAUACUCCUGGCUGUCUUCAAAUUCAAGAGAUCCAGCUGCUUCUCUUGGACUUCCAAGUGCUGGCAUUAAAGGUGUUUAUGGCCAUUCCUAGCUUGUGAAGUGUUGGCUUUUAUCUUAAGCCUUGGUCCAGCAUUCAGAAUGUGAAAUUUCAGAGAUUCUCCCAAGUAGGCUGUCAUCCUGACACAAUCCAUGUGUUUUAGUUAGGGUUUUACUGCUGUGAACAGACACCAGAGAGGAAAACAUUUAAUUUGGGACUGGCUUACAGGUUCAGUCCAUUAUCAUCCAGGUGGGAGGUAUGGUAGCAUCUAGACAGGUAUGGUGCAGGCAGAGCUGAGAGUUCUACAUCUUUAUCUAAAGGCUACUAGUGAAGACUGACUUCUAGGCAGCUAGGAUGAAGGUCUUAAAGGCCACACCCACAGUGACACACCUACUCCAACAGGUCCACACCUUCUAAUAAUACCACUCUCUGGACCAAGCAUAUACAAACCAUCACACCAUGUAAUUUACAUCUAGAUACGGAGUCUGCUUGUUGACCAUAUAAAGGUGUAUUUUCUCUACAGGGCUUUGCUCUAACACAGCCAAAUAGCUGGCCACCCCCAACCUAGUUACUACAAGACUUGUUACUGGGUCACUCUGAAGCCAAAUUGGAGCAGGUUUUCUCAUAUUACUUGUCCUAAAGAAUAAACUCCAACUACAGAAAACUAGUAGAUUACAGCGUAUCCCCAAUUAAUUCUGUUCAAAUCUUAAAGCUGAUUAUCCUGGCAUUUCUAGAUCAAGAGCAAGGAAGGGAGAAAUGAACUGCUAUACCAAUGGGAAGCUAUGAAGAAGGAUCAGAGUUUAGCAUUGUCCCCCCACUGCUCAACUGGACUACAGAGAAGCAUAUACACAUAAAUACACACGGCUGUAUGUUAUUACUAAGUUUAAUUCAACCAUUAUACCCAGUUCUGCCUCAUAAAAAAAUAACAAAACGUUCCUAUCAAAAUUGCAUUAUGAUGUAAGAACAGGUUUCUUGCUCUGACACAGCAAUAGAAAAAUGUUGGCACCAAAUACACUUAAAAGUUUUAAGGCUUAAUGUAGGUGACAAUUUAUACCACUGGAUUCAGCUGGGCACUCGUUUACAGAUUUACACUCUGAACCCUGCUGCAGCAGAAAGAUGGAGAGACAAAUAAGGCAGCCCCUGCUGUGGGUCACUGUCACAGGUUCCCAUAUCCUCCCAGCAAU
This is a non-coding RNA of Rattus norvegicus (Norway rat), 5397 nucleotides long. The record is from RefSeq and is a predicted model, not a curated record. NCBI's taxonomy places the organism in Eukaryota, Metazoa, Chordata, Mammalia, Rodentia, Muridae.